Molecule: long non-coding RNA, 4018 nt
Filed under: Homo sapiens (human)
Lineage: Eukaryota; Metazoa; Chordata; Mammalia; Primates; Hominidae
Description: HSALNT0167305
Source: RNAcentral
UGCUCUGAAUGUAUUUUGCUUAUGUCGCUCAACUUGAUGUUUUUGCCACCUAUCCACAUAUAUGUUUUGUUCCUCUUUUGGACUUAAUGUUUUAAAGGAAGAAACCAAGGAGGAAGAGGUUUAUUCACACAAGAACAGCUAUCUGUACCUAUGUUUCCGCCUGUCUCUGAUUGGAGACUGAAGUCAGGAGGACUUCUUGGAAGAAGCAAGGAACUGAAUUUGGUUUUUGAAAGAGACUGAGAAAAUGCUGAGUGUGAAUGUUGUGGGGGCAUUUCAGAGAUACCCCUUACAAUAAUUCCAUAGACUAGGAAUUGUGAGAUUUGUUGUAUGAUCUUUCUUUCAUUAUUUAGUUAUAGAUUCUAUGGCUUUUUAAAUAUUUAGGUUAGACAAAUGUUUUGACUGUGGAAGAUACAUUUAAAAAGGGAUGCUAAACAAAUCAAGAUUUACUAAAACUGAACAACAGAAAUCCUGUAAAACACUAUCAUUUAAGCCCAACAGGUGGACACACAAACCAAUUACAAAUCAAAGAGGCUUUGAUCCAUGGAGUCUUUGGUGUAUGCCGAAUAAAAUACAUUCAAAAUGUAUUUGUAGUGUGAGAUAAAGAUAUAAAGGUCACUUUGUAAGUGCUGCCUAUGUUAGUAGUUUUAAUUUUACCUUGUCAGUGCCUCUGUGUACAAAACUGAAGAAAGCAAGACUUUGAUUUGUUCAGGUUUCCUUAAGGAGGGACACAGAAUCCUUGAAGCAUGAUUUGAAAAAGAUGGAUAAGAUAUUCUACCCAAAAUUCAACAUCACCUUUAAUCUUGCCCUCUCCUCCUCUAAUCCCUAGGUAAUGUUUUGUGCUUCUUUUGCAGAAAAGCAAUUUUGUUAAUCACUUUAGCACCAAUUCUUGCAUCCCUGGCAAUACUCAGAACUGCUUCCAUCCAAGUCUUUGAUGUGGGAAAGAAACACACACACACUCUUUCGCAUGUAAUCUGAAAACAAUUCACCUCUUGCCAAUGAAUGCACAGCACUCCACUUUAAUAGAGAGCAAGUUCUGUGGAGGUUUCUAAUCCUUUCUGCCAAAGAAGAGAAGAGAGAGAAUCACUCAGCUUCUAUUGCAGAUGUGAAGUUUAGCAUUUCUUUGCUCACUCUUUUACUGGGAAACUCUUCUAGCGGAAAGCCUGUCAUCUGUUGUGAAGGAGAGCUGGUGUUGACUUGAAGCAACAGAGUUGGUGGUCCAGUGGCCAUUGUCCUGUGUUAGGAGCAGGAUCCCAUCCAGAAUACAUUACCUUUAGUCAUCAUGUCUCCUGUGGCUCUUCUUGGCUGUGACAGUUUCUCAGCUUUCCCAGUUUUAAUGAACUUGCCAUUUUCAUCAGAUUGUACCAAGACCUACUAUCAAUAUGACUUAUGACUAGUGGUGCUGACCUUGAUCACCUGGCUGAGGUAGUUCUUGUCAGGCUUCUCCACUGUCGAGUUGCUCUCCCCAUCCCCCUUUUCCAUAUUGUACUCUUUGAAAGAAAGUCACUAUAUGCAGCCCUUCCUUAAAAAUAUUAAAAUGAACUAGCUUAAUUAAGUUCUUUCUUACAUUUAGGUGUAAAUACCUCUGAGGUUUUUUUCUUUUAAAAAAUGAUUAUCUAUGUAAUACAUACUCACUGCACAAGACUUUAAAAAUGCAAGAAAAGUAUAAAGCAGCAGCAAAUAGAACUACCCAUAAUUCCAUCUGUCACAAGCAACCAUUUCUAGCUUUUUGUCAUAUUUCCUUCCAGUUUUUUUUCUUCUGCAUAAAAUAACUAUUUUUAUUUCUAUUUAUUUAUUUUUUUGAGACAGAGUUUCACUCUGUCACCAGGCUGGAGUGCCGUGGCACAAUCUCGGUUCUCUACAACCUCCACCUCCCAGGUUCAAGGGAUUCUCCUGCCUCAGCCUCCUGAGUAGCUGGGACUACAGGCGUGCACCACCAUGCCCAGCUAAUUUUUGUAUUUUUAGUAGAGACGGGGUUUCACCAUGUUGGCCAGGAUGGUCUUGAUCUCUUGACCUUGUGAUCCACCCGCCUCGGCCUCCCAAAGUGCUGGGAUUACAGGCAUGAGCCAUCGCGCCUGGCCAAAAUAACUAUUUUUAAAUAGCACUUGCUUGAAAUUAUUUCAUAGGUGGUAAAAAUAUUUUAUCUUUGAAUAUGGCAAAGAAGAUGGAUUCAUAUAAAACCAGAGCAGAUCUUGGUGGUACUUCAAGAUAUAAACUACCAACCCAAUAGAUAAUUUCUGAAAAUAACAUUUUAGAGUCUCUUCCUCUAUUUUUGAGAAGCUUGAAUAUUUACAAAUACAGCAUUCACUGUGAGACUUCUUGUUUCUUUUCCUUUCUAAGACUUUUAACUUGUUGUUUAUUUUACUAUUACAUGAAACACAUUUUAUUUUAAUUUUUAAAGUUUUAGUGUUUUUUGAGACAAGGUCUCAUUCUGUUGCCCAGUUUGGAGUGCAGUGGCAUGAACAUGGCUCACUGCAGCCUCAACUUUUUGGGCUCAAGUAAUCCUCUAGCUUCAGCUUCACGAGUAGCUGGGACUACAGGUAUACACCACCACACCUACCUAAUUUAUUCUUACAGUUUUUAGAGACGGGGGUCUCGCUGUGUUGCCCAGGCUGGUCUUGAACUCCUGGGCUCAAGCAAUCUUCCUGCCUCAGCCUCCCAAAGUGCUGGGAUUACAGGGAUGAGUCACCAUACCCAGCCUUAUUUAAAUAAGGUUUGAGGAAACUUGGGUAGCUGGUUAAAACUCUGGCAAUGAUCUAGGUUUCAAAUCAUCAAAUUCCUUUUUGCAUGGUGUAUAGACUCAUGACAACUCUUAUUUUUUUAAAGACUUUAUUUUGUACAUGCUUCUUAUUAAAAAAUUAAUACAGAAAAGUACAAAGUAAAAUCCCAAAAUUCUAUCACCUAAAAAAACCAUUAUUAACAUUAUUCCACAAACCUUCCCUUUGCAUAUAUACACAGAGAGAUAAAUUUACACAAAAGGCUCACACAUACCAUACAUAGUUACUAAAUGAGGAUGAAGCAAAAUGAAGAAAUUGAAGAAAAUGAAGCUGAAACAAAAUGAAGGAAUUACCAAAUUUUAGCUAAAUGUUCUUUUGCAAGACACUUUAGUUCCUAACAAUCCCUUUGAAGUUUUGAAAAAAGAUUAUGAAAAGCAUUAAGAGUUUGAAAGUCUACAUAAUUAACUUUUUUUUUUUUUUUUUUUUGAGACAGGGUCUUGCUCUGUUGCCCAUGCUGGAGUGCCUUGGUGUGAUCAUGGCUCACUGCAGCCUUGACCUCCCAGGCUCAACUGGUCCUCCCACUUCAGCCUCCGAAGUAGCUGGGACCACAGAUGUGUGUCACCAAGCCCGGCUAAUUUUUUAAAAUUCUUUUGUAGAGACAGGAUCUUCCAGUGUUGCCCAGGCUGGUCUUGAACUCCUGGAGGCUGGUCUUGAACUCCUGGGCUCAAAAACAAUCCUCCUACCUCAGGCUUCCAAAGUGCCAGGAUUACAGGUGUGAGCCACCGUGGCUGGCUGGAAAACUCUUCUAAUAGUGGCUGGCAUGUAGUAAGUGCUUAUAGUAAAUGUAAGCCAAUGCUAUUAUAGAGGAAUAAUGGUGAGCAUCUGGGCCCACGUAUGAUAUUGAAAUCUGUCACUCACAAAAUAAUCUCUUUGUCUCUCAUUCAUCUCAGAAUAAUUUUCCUGUUAAAUCUACCAGCUCCUGAGGGGCCCUGAGGGUAUAACCAAUGAGUAUGUGGGCACCAAUGUAAUGAAUGUGUGAAUAGGUGAUUCUGUCAUCUGUUUAUAAGAAUGACCAGAAUACAAAAUUCUAGCCUUUUUACAAUCCUAAACAUAUACUAUGUGCUACCAAUAACAGCAACAAUCACCAUCAUGCAUGUCACUUACAUGUACACACUAACAUAAAGAACUUUAUAUCUCUGCUUUAAAAUCCUCUUUAAAAGUAAACUAUUAGCCUGGGUAACAUGGUGAGACCUUGUCAAUGAAAUAAAAAAAUUAGCCAGGCACCUGUAGGCCCAGCUGCUCUG